RNAcentral lists this transfer RNA (74 nucleotides) under Toxarium undulatum. Its description in RNAcentral is "tRNA-Gly". It matches the Rfam family "tRNA". From Rfam's summary of the family: Transfer RNA (tRNA) molecules are approximately 80 nucleotides in length. The record is from RNAcentral. Lineage: Eukaryota; Bacillariophyta; Thalassiosirophyceae; Ardissoneales; Ardissoneaceae.
AGCAAAAUAGUUUAAUUGCGGGAAAACAAAACCGUUCCACGGUUAAGAUAGAGGUUCAAAUCCUCUUUUUGCUA